GAUAGUGUUAACUUGUAGUGAUGAAAGAGUGUAAGUGUGAAAGAAUGAGAUUGAUAUUACCAUUGUGCGUUUUCCAAAGAUUCUUCACUACACAAAAUCCUUGAAU
Molecule: ribosomal RNA, 106 nt
Filed under: Fervidobacterium pennivorans
Lineage: Bacteria; Thermotogati; Thermotogota; Thermotogae; Thermotogales; Fervidobacteriaceae
Description: partial 23S ribosomal RNA
Source: RNAcentral